Molecule: small nucleolar RNA, 129 nt
Filed under: Mola mola (ocean sunfish)
Lineage: Eukaryota; Metazoa; Chordata; Actinopteri; Tetraodontiformes; Molidae
Description: Small nucleolar RNA SNORA63 (ENSMMOG00000004930.1)
Source: RNAcentral
UUGCAGGAUAAGUUACAAUGCAGCUUUGUUCAGUGCUGCUUUGUCGUUCCCCCUGCAAAAAAUAACCUGUUUCCAGCUAUCCCUGUCUGUCGACGUCCCGGACAACCAGGGACGCAAGGUCUCAGACAC